Non-coding RNA from Plicaturopsis crispa FD-325 SS-3, 94 nucleotides. The record is from the annotation of a GenBank genome assembly. Lineage: Eukaryota; Fungi; Basidiomycota; Agaricomycetes; Amylocorticiales; Amylocorticiaceae.
UCGGGUAUGGUGUAACGGCUAACAUUGCCGCCUCUCAUACGAGUUCGUUUCAAGCGUUUCGCGGCAGCUCGGGGUUCGAUUCCCCGUACCCGAA